GCCGGGCGCGGUGGCGCGCGCCUGUAGUCCCAGCUACUCGGGAGGCUGAGGCAGGAGGAUCGCUUGAGCCCAGGAGUUCUGGGCUGUAGUGCGCUAUGCCGAUCGGGUGUCCGCGCUAAGUUCGGCAUCAAUAUGGUGACCUCCCGGGAGCGGGGGACCACCAGGUUGCCUAAGGAGGGGUGAACCGGCCCAGGUCGGAAACGGAGCAGGUCAAAACUCCCGUGCUGAUCAGAAGGAUACUUAGAAUUAUUUUUUUUCAAACUAGUACUGUGCUUCACAUUAAAAA
RNAcentral lists this signal recognition particle RNA (286 nucleotides) under Neogale vison (American mink). RNAcentral describes it as "Neovison vison (American mink) Metazoan signal recognition particle RNA (ENSNVIG00000006488.1)". It matches the Rfam family "Metazoan signal recognition particle RNA". Rfam says of the family: The signal recognition particle (SRP) is a universally conserved ribonucleoprotein. It is involved in the co-translational targeting of proteins to membranes. Lineage: Eukaryota; Metazoa; Chordata; Mammalia; Carnivora; Mustelidae. The record is from Rfam by way of RNAcentral.